CUUAUUAACACCUCCAGAUUAUAUACACAUUUGAUGUCCCCACAAGUCCAGUGUGUAAUCACAUUCAUGAUGUCCCCACAAGUCCAGUGUGUAAUCACAUUCACGUCCUCGCAAGUCCAGUGUGUAAUCACAUUCAUGUCCCCACAAGUUAGGGUAUGUAAUGCUUUAAUUUAAUAUACACAUAUAUGAUGUCCACGCAAGUCCAAUGUGCAAGUGCAACACACACUCAUAUCCCUACUAGUUACGAAAUCUAAAUACUAGAAUAAUAACCACCGUACAUACAUGCAUGCACGCUCCGUUUGUUCAAAAAUACUACCUGUAUAUGUGCUUCAUGUGCAUCAAACGGCUUGAUUAAGUAUAUAAAGUUGAUUAUCCAUUCAUGUUAAAUGAGCAGAUUGAGAAAUCGCUAAUAUGGCUUACAAGUUAUAAUUAUAAUAAUUAUUACAACUUGUAAUGGAUCCUAUUUUUUUAUCAAAGUUC
Molecule: non-coding RNA, 480 nt
Organism: Paramuricea clavata
Lineage: Eukaryota; Metazoa; Cnidaria; Anthozoa; Malacalcyonacea; Plexauridae
Source: the annotation of a GenBank genome assembly